AGCAACGAAUGUCAGACGAUCGGAAAAUCGCUCAAUUCAAACAAAUUGAAACUAUUUUCUUCGAUACGGCACUCGAUUCGAGUAUUCGGAAAAAAUCGGUAGCUACGGAAAACGAAGAGAUGAUGAUCAGACGAAGCGUUUUUUUUUUCUUCUCUCCUAUUUUCUCUGUGAUUUGCUUUUUGUUCGUCCGAAAUUAAACUUCAUUACCGGGUGAUUCGUUAACCCGACGAUCCGACACUGGCGAUAUUUUCUUUUCGCGAUAUAGCGCAGCAGCAUUUUUCAACUCGCAGUCACACAAAUCCUGACAGUGGUAGUAUUCAAUUAACUAGUCAGCUCGCGUACCGGCAUACCUCAUCGUUAGAGAUGAGACGGUCGUAGGCGAACCGACAAAUAUGGACAACCGAUGCAGUAUUCUGGGAUUCUGUUGGUGUACUUUGAUAUUAAUUAAAAGAGAAAGAAAAAAAAACAAUCAUACAUAGGGGAAAGCUUUGACUCCAAAUGUUGGAGAAACUUCGACAUGCUUCUGAUGACCCGACACAUUGUGAAUGAUUUUUCUUGAAUGUGAUUUUUGAAAGGAGUGGACAGACUGGAAAAUUAUCGCGUGUGACCUGGAGCGUUCGAUUGUGUAAUUCGAACGUCAUGGAUGGUACAGGAAUAAAAUUUGACGCUUUGAAUUGAACGCGGGUUAAGCGGGGUUGCGAUGAAUUUCAAUAGAACGACCGACACGUUAUAUCCAGCGUUUGAACGAGUCGCAAGGGGUGAUGCCCUCGUAAUAUUUGUCAAAGUUUCUCGACUCAAAGCCAGUGGAGUGUCAUUAGCAGGUGAAGCAAUUAAAAUUCUAGAUUGCCGAGGCUCGUGAAAAUCGCCAUUCGUUAAGGAGCUCAUUGUCCGAUUAUCUCGCAGCGUUUUACCGCCGAAAGAAAAGCUUAAAACACGGUCGGUAUAUAUACUAUACCACCGGGCAGAUGAUCCACAUAAUUUCACCCCAUCAAAGAAACUUUUUUUCAAACGAAUUAGAACCCGCAGCCGGGCGUUCGGUGGCUCACGGAAAAAAUAUCGCAAGUAUUAUUCGCGGUUUCAUCCACACCGAAAACAAUUUGUGUCUUCGUUACACAAUUGUCGAAAUAAUAACGUAUUGAAAAUUUUUCUUGCGUUGAUGGAAAAAUUUUAUGCGUAUCACGUGCGUGUGGCUUUUAUGCGGUAUUCGAUCAAUUGAAUGCUAUUCCUUAUUUGUAUGCGAUACGAUGAGAAUAAUUUUUGUUUCUUCACGCCGCGUAUACUAUAAAUGUAAAUGAUAUUUACUCGUUAUUUCGAUUCAUCUGCGUUUAUUCUCGUCUAAAAGAGGAAAAAAAUUGAAUAAUUUAUAUCGUUGUGUACUCGCGGUACAUACUUAUAUAUAUAUAUAUAUAUAGAAAAAUAUCGUAGAACGCGCCGGCACAUCGUGGGUAUGGUCAUGUAAAUGCGAGUGACGUAGAGUCGCGCAGUUUGGUAUUGUUCCGCGUGAAUAUCAUGGCAUUGGAGAGUACGUGGGGGGUGUUGGGGAGCGUUCGCCGCAGAUUUUACUCGAAUAUUGAACAACGCCGUGUGAAAAUAUAUCGGUACAGCAUUGUUCGGCGUUGUUGAUUAUUCAGAUCAACGGUUGCGAAGUGUAAUUUACGCACAUUGUAUUGUCAGCCCCGCGUAUAUUACUGGGCGAUGCGAAGUACGGGCGCACAUAAAAUAUCCAUUUAUACGAUAUACCGAACAUGCAUCGCACGGUAGUUACUUGAAAUUUGCUAAGUUCGUCUGAAGUAGCGCGAUGUGUUUGUCUUUCGAGAUACAAGGGAAGUGAAGCCAGUCUUUGAUCCUGAUAAUAUCAUCAGCCCCGCGAACUCCGUGGAACCGACAUCCUAUUUCGGGGGGACCACCGACCUUUGAAGUUCGUAGGACAUAUUCGAAAAGCUGAGGCAAACGUGUCGUUGUUACAAUUUUUCGUAUGAAUUAUUCAGCUUCGCUCUCGUCAUCAGAUUCGAAAAAUACGCCGCUCCUCCGAUCUUCCGGCAAAUUUCGGGUGAAGAGAAAAAUUGUUUUUUUUUAUUCGCGCGCCGAUCCAACAUUUCUCGCGUUUUGAAGAACGAGGUAUACAAUUUCGUAACGGUUUUGCUCCCGCGGAGCGACUACGUAUGCCUAUAACCCAACCCAACACGUGGCUAAUGAAUAAUGAAGAUGGAAAAAAGGUUUACCUGCCUCUAUACGAAUACCGGAAGUUACCGUCUGAUGCACAAAUUCCCUUUCACGUUUUUUAGUACAUAGAAGCUUGUAUUAUAAUCGUGGAAUGAAUAAGACGUACGAUUCCUUUGUUUUUAGUUCUCUAAUUUCUUCAUGCCACAGAGCGUAUUCAACUCUUGCGGUCUUCAUUACUAUUUGGUUUGUUUCGUCGUAUUUAACCCCGUUUUCCGUUUCGUUAUAUACACAGCUGACGUCUUUCCACCCCAAGCACAUUUCAUAAAUGCAUAUAAUGCAUAUGUACACAUCGAAACUAUAUAAAUGUGAACUUCGUCGUUGUUCCUUCGACGUAGAGCGUACGUGUUCCAUAAAGGAAUACCUGUCCAUGUACGACGUAUGCUAAUUUUCUGUCACGCGUGGUUUAUUUCGUAUGUUUUUUCUUUCUUUUUUCCUUUUUUUUUUUUUUCCUACUUUUGAAAACGUCUCAGCGGAAUGAUCUGCUAUACGUUGUACGACAUACGUGUACGCAUUAUACGUCGUUUCUCGCUCUAGAAAUUGAGGGGAAAAAGUAAGAGGAAAAAAGUAGACGAAAUAAAAAGGCGCAGAAACAGCUUGGAAAAAUAUGGAAAACUGCUACGGCAGAGAUUCGCGUGGCGAGGAAAAUAAAAGAAGAGAGAAGAAAAAAAAGAAAAAAGAUUGAACGAAACGCGAACGAGAGAGGACGGCGGUGCUGACUUUUUCCUGAACUCGCAUGACUCGCAUAUCAUAGGUACGGUAUACCAGCACACGCUAUAACGCGUAUACCACCGGGUCACAUGCUGUCCGUUAUUCAUGCUAGAAUUAAUUCACAAAAGUCAGCAUAUCGUGACAACGAAUGUGCACAGCGAGAUAAAAUUAAAGAAUUCAUGGGCAGUAAUUAGACGUGACACCCCGUUAUAAUAGGUGUAGCACAGUUUAUGCAGAAUGUGAAUCCCUGGUGUUUUCAUAAUAUGCACGUGUACUUUGGAUGACACACGAUCGUUUUCUCUCUUCGGGGGAUAGAAUUCUGACCCGUGCAGCCCUGGCUGUGAAUGCAAAGGAUUUUUUCAUCAGGUUCGAAGUAUUUUUCACGAGAAAUCUUUCGCUCUCUUCUUCAAUUCUUCCGUGGUUUCUUUUUUGUCUCAUACCGAAGGCCUGAAAGGGACAAAAAUUUGCGACACGGUGAAAUUAAAGGGCGCAAAAUUCUCCACAAAUUUGUCAAAUUUAACCGGGCUAAUAGCCGCCCGUAUGCCCGAGAUUAUUACCACUAUUCAUCAGAGUCGUUGCCAUACGAUUGUUCAUAAAUGGUCAUUCAUCUGCGAGCAGCUCGACAACCGUGGGAAAGUUCAACUAUACGAGGAGCCCAUUAUACAGCCUGGAAACAAUUCCUGGAGGAUUGAUGUGUGCGGUACGAAGCAACCCCCGUAUCCGUAAUACGUAUGAUAAUAAUAUUUCAAGGAAGACGGGAAUACAGGUAAAUUCCGUUCGAAACUUACUGGUGAUACUGUAGCGAAAAUGUUCUCAUAAUAAAUUACCUCAGCGUUCAAAGCGUCGUUUAUUUGACAAUAAUUUAAGCACGCCUGUAAUAUUUUAUCGAACAACCGCGGUCUUGUGACCUGGUUCCAAAGUGUGGGAGCUGACUGACUUAAAGUGAAUGGAGCAUUCUAUGAUAUGCAUAGGGAACGAGUGUUGUUUUAUACAGGUUCAUUUUACAUUCCUGCUACGAUGAUUGUUUCAUUUUUUCACCGUCGUUUCUUCAUUUUCCGAGGGAUUGAUGAAAUUCGUGUCCGUUGAUCGGAAGGAGCGUAACGAUUCGACGUAAAAUUGCAGUCGUGUUCGACAAAAAUAAGAUUAUCAUUGUUUGUUUCUCCGUUAUUUAUCGGGAUUCAGAUAUGAAGAGCGGCAACGAGACGGGUAUCUCGGUGCACGGGGAUCCAGAGAAACACGUAGAAAACUUUGGAAACUGGUUUUCCGCCUUUAUUUUACUUUUAGAAACAAAACCAGAAGAAUAAGAAAAAGAAAUAACGAAAAGUGUAUUACACCGAAGAAAGAAAUGUGUUCGUUCUCUUUGUUACUUAAAGCUCCGCCAUAUCCCAGCGCGGUCAGAGGCGUUCAAAGUUUUUGUUAAAACGGAAAAAUAGAAAAACUGAAAAUAACGAAAAUAAGUCGAGAAAAGGAAGAGAGAAAAAGUUUAAUCUUGUUGACGCUGGUCCGGAGUGCACUCUCUCUCUCUCUCUCUCUCGAGUUGCAGGGUAACUUUGAGAGACUGUCGUUUAUUUACGACUCUGAAAUUGAGGAAUGAAACUUACCGCGUCCGUUUGAUUUAUCACUUUGACGUUCGCGUGGGCGAAUAGUCGUCUCUCUCUUGGUCGGGUGAUGCUGCUACGGUUAACCACGUCUUUUACUUUAAACGGAGGAAGUAUAAUCCCUUACGAACGACCCUGAUCCGAUAUGACUCCCACUUUCUUACCUAAGAAUCCGAACGGAAACGAAUGUUGCAAAAAGUACGCGGCGUCGAAACGAAAAAUAAAUCCGCUACCCGAGGUUGAAGCACACUUUUCAAAGACAAAGAAAUAUAAUCAUAUUAGAUCGCAGUACGAGUGGAGAACUUCAACUACACCCCUCGUGCGAUUUGUAGUCCGAGAACGAGUUCGACAUUGAAUUCUAGAAUGUUGCUUUGAAUAUUGAAUACAAACGGCGAGUGGGUUUUUAAUCAAUGGAAAAAGAGUCUUACGCUUCAGGGGCACUUCUGUUCGGUAUGUGUAGCGAUAUACUUUUUCGACGUCAAUUUAUUUUCACCAAAAAUCCCCUCAAGUGUGCUGCUUAGGAUGUUCCUGGCUGUAAGAAUUUUACAACAGACGAAACAGAUUCGAGUUUUUUUUCGGAGUUGUCACUGUUUCAGGCCACAACUGCGAAAAAACGGUGCUUCUGCUUUGGAAAAAAUAAGAAGAGUAAAAAAUUAUUCAACCGAUCAAGAACAAAGGCCCGCUUUUGUAACCAAGCUACACAAAAAAUACGAGAUUUGAUUUUCGAAGGGAACACCCGCUACCGGUGGUUCGCCUCCGGACUAUACACGUUCCGCUGUCACGGCGAUCCGCUCUAUCUUUAUGGAAUCAGCUAGCGGCCGUUAUGGUGUCCCUGCAGUAAAUCUUUGCUCAUCCAUUGAAACCGACUGACAUUGGACAACGGCACCCGGUGGGUCGGCCCGGUCCCGCUCUUACGUACGUUGAGAAAAUGAAGACACCGUAAAGGGUUAUAAACGUCCGACGAGUGGGGGUUCGCGAGGCAAACAAUUUUUGAAUGAGAAAUGCAGAGAACACCGUGAGAGAUAGAUACUUUUCAUCGCUGUACUCGAGCGAGAAUAAUUGAAGACGAAAGAAACAAAGAUAAAUAAAAUGAGCUUUCGGAGCGCGGAGGUGAUUUUUCGUUGUGCCCGGAGCACACGUCGUAAGAAGAUGACGUCGUAUUUCAUAUUAUUUCCGAAGAUUUAUUUUUCGCAAAAUAAGAAGCUCGUCGAACAGCAGCGCGAAACAAACCGAACAAUUAACCAAAUCGUCGUUUGCGAGAAGCGAAAAUCGUUUCGUUUAAUUUUUUUUUUUAUUUCUCUUUCCCGUACUCACGAGGUAAAAAUGCGACGCAACGGAUUUCGACCUUUCCACGCGGAGCCACAAAUUGUGUUUUAUCGACGUAUAGUUUCCGUAUAUGAGGACAAUAUAACAACGAGUGGGUCGGCUUAUAUUGGCCAUCGCUAACGAAAUAGAUAUUUCAAGCGUGGUGAAACACGCCACUUUUUUUACCUCCACCUUCCCGUCCGCUUCGCCCAUCAAUGGAACAAACGAAGUUCAAUGAUCAACGAACCGAAUCACGCGUACGGCCUGCUCACAAAUAUAAAAAAGGUACGUUUAAUAUACACAGGGCAUAUGUAUCGGGAUAAUUUCUUCCGUCCGCACGUUAAUUGAGGACAUAUGGACGCGGUACCGGCUUGAACCUUGUUAACUUCCACCUCACAUUCGAGUAGUUACUGCUUCCAUUUACUGAAUUCGUAUCGACGCCUUCGAAAAUCUGUACGGAGCCGUUCUCGUGAUUGCCUCUGUUAGAAUCAUAAUUGGAAUGAUGUCAAAGCUAGCUCUACGACCAGGACUUAAAAAGACAAAAAAUGAAAAAUUGCAAUUUUCAGACGCGGACGAAAUUCCGUGUCAUUAGAAAUAAUCACACACGUUCUCGGGGAGGCUGAAACGAUUCAUUUGGAAAAUAAAGAACGGCGAGAGAAAGGGGGAAAAAAGUAAUUGAUUAGGUGAUUUGCAUGGAAUGCCUCAUAGGUAUACCUAGAUGUAGAAUUUAUUCGCAUGCGCCGUAACGUUUAACGUCACCGUAUCGCGUGGCGCAGUAAGACUGUGACGUUGUUUCAAAAGGAUAAGAAUUUACUCGAAAAAUACGCCUUUGCUAUCAAUUUAGCGAGGGGGCGUUGCCGCCCUCGGGAGUUUGUCAUUUCACUUUUAUUUCGGGGCUUUUUUUACUUGGCUCAAGAAUAGAGAAGGUUUACCCGAGUGAUACGAGUUUCCUUCGUUCGCUCGAUAGCCAUACCGAACGACUCGUUUUUCCACUUUUCACUUCCCCUGUUUUUCAUUUAUUCUUCAAUCUUUUUUUCCU
Athalia rosae (coleseed sawfly) is the source of this 6873-nucleotide long non-coding RNA. RefSeq lists it as uncharacterized. The record is from RefSeq and is a predicted model, not a curated record. The transcript is spliced from 4 exons. NCBI's taxonomy places the organism in Eukaryota, Metazoa, Arthropoda, Insecta, Hymenoptera, Athaliidae.